GUGGGGAAUCUUCCGCAAUGGACGAAAGUCUGACGGAGCGACGCCGCGUGAAGGAUGAAGGCCUAUGGGUUGUAAACUUCUUUUCUCAGAAAAGAAUUAUGACGGUAUCUGAGGAAUAAGCAUCGGCUAACUCUGUGCCAGCAGCCGCGGUAAGACAGAGGAUGCAAGCGUUAUCCGGAAUGAUUGGGCGUAAAGCGUCUGUAGGUUGUUUAAAAAGUAUUCUGUCAAAGAUUAGGGCUUAACCCUAGAUAGGCAGAAUAAACUUUUAAGCUAGAGUUUGGUAGAGGCAGAGGGAAUUCCCGGUGGAGCGGUGAAAUGCGUAGAUAUCGGGAGGAACACCAAAGGCGAAGGCACUCUGCUGGGCCAAUACUAACACUGAGAGACGAAAGCGAGGGGAGCAAAUGGGAUUAGAAACCCGGGUAGUCC
Molecule: ribosomal RNA, 426 nt
Filed under: uncultured bacterium
Lineage: Bacteria
Description: partial 16S ribosomal RNA
Rfam family: Bacterial small subunit ribosomal RNA
Source: RNAcentral